Molecule: long non-coding RNA, 337 nt
Filed under: Phoenix dactylifera (date palm)
Lineage: Eukaryota; Viridiplantae; Streptophyta; Magnoliopsida; Arecales; Arecaceae
Description: long non-coding RNA (PDAC_LNC017582)
Source: RNAcentral
CCCCCACCUGAGGGGCCAAGGUUCCCUUUUAUAGGCGGGGGUCGGUUUACCUGUGAUGUAACGGGGCGAGGCCGUAGUACGGCUCGGCAUGUUGUUCAGGUCGGCGCACGAUCAGGUGAAUCAUUGCGUUGAUGUCGGCGGUGAGGUCGUCGUACGACCUGGGCUUGCACGCUACCAGACGAAUUACUACAUUGGUGUCGGAGGUAUGGCCGAGAUCAGAGACUUAUCAUGGUUGACUAGACUCUGCUGGGCUAACUUGCCGUGGAGAGCUGAAAGUCCGUAGAUGACAGGAGCCAUGCGCAUUAAAUGUGGAGUAAGCCGGAGAUCCGCAUUAAUU